Acomys russatus (golden spiny mouse) is the source of this 939-nucleotide long non-coding RNA. RefSeq lists it as uncharacterized. NCBI's taxonomy places the organism in Eukaryota, Metazoa, Chordata, Mammalia, Rodentia, Muridae. The record is from RefSeq and is a predicted model, not a curated record. The transcript has 2 exons.
GAUGCAGAGGGGAUGGCUGGCGGGUUCGCUGUGGUCCUCCCCCUUCCUCCUUCCUCUUCCUCUGCUGGCCGCGCCUUUGUUUGCUCUGCCCGCGCGCUAUCUUUAGGCAGCAGGUGCGGGAGCCACUGUGAGUCGGGUCGCCCUCCGGUCACCGCCCCCCACGUGACGCUGGGCGCUAUAAAUAGACGGGCCGCCGGCGCCCUGCAUCCGCCCGGAGCCGGCGCCGCUGCGGAGGGCGGCGCGCGCGCGCGGGUCCCGGCCCGGCCGGCCGGCGCUUGGAGGCAGCCGCACGCCUGCGGGCGCGGACUGUGCCUUCUGAAGACCAGUGUGCGAUUGAUGGAGGAGCCCCAGGAGGGCAGCUCUGACUACUGCCGUUCCCAACAUCGUGGGUGCUGCCGCUGACCUGAGGAGGCCCGUGCCCCUCUGGCCCUCACCAUUGCCCUUGUCUCCCAAUGGCCUCUGCUGCCCGGCCAGAGGCCAGCACUGCUGCCUGAGCCCGCUGCCCCUCUCCAGGACUUGCCGUUCCCUGAUGGGGUAACGUGACAGACGCCCAGAUCAGAGGCUGCCUGCCCACCACGGCCCAGGGCCGCCAGAGUUGCUUUGAGUCCAAGUUCAUUUCCCCUUUGGUCCUGAGUGCUGGGGCCCAGCUCUGAGCAAAAAGGGGACUCUCCUCUCUUCAUCCAUGCAGACAGGGUGUCCACAGCGACGGCCCCAUAGAGGACACUGCUCCGUGGCCAGAGUCACCAACUUGAAGUUCUCUUUGCUCAGUUUUUUUUUUUUUUGGUUGUUGUUAUUUUUAUUUUUUGCCUCCCUGUAACUAGUCCACUCUGAGGGACAGGACUUUGGAGCUACCCAUCUUGCUAGAAGAGGAGGUGUUUGUUUCUUUUCCUUUUCUUUUUUAGAAUUGGGUGUUUUUGGAGUUGUCCACCACCACCACCA